Molecule: long non-coding RNA, 329 nt
Filed under: Homo sapiens (human)
Lineage: Eukaryota; Metazoa; Chordata; Mammalia; Primates; Hominidae
Description: HSALNT0373472
Source: RNAcentral
UAGGUGUUGGAACAGGCGAUGGAUAUGAUCUAAAAGUCCAAAUAGUAAUGAAGAAAAAGAUUGUCUUUUCCUGCACUUCCUUAAACAGUUGUCGGGUAUUUCAUGACACUGAAACAGACAGGGUAAUAAUUGAUGUGUUCAACUGUCCACCUCUGUAUGAUGAUGUGAAAGUGCAAGCUUCCUCUUCGGGACAUGUGUGAAGCUGGAAACCAUCAUCCUCAGCAAACUAUCACAAGAUCAGAAAACCAAACACCACAUGUUCUCACUCACAGGUGAGAGUUGAACAAAGAAAACACGUGGACAUAGGGAGGGGAACAUCACACACUGGG